UGGGGAAUUUUGGACAAUGGGCGAAAGCCUGAUCCAGCAAUGCCGCGUGUGUGAAGAAGGCCUUCGGGUUGUAAAGCACUUUUGUCCGGAAAGAAAUCCUUGGCUCUAAUACAGUCGGGGGAUGACGGUACCGGAAGAAUAAGCACCGGCUAACUACGUGCCAGCAGCCGCGGUAAUACGUAGGGUGCAAGCGUUAAUCGGAAUUACUGGGCGUAAAGCGUGCGCAGGCGGUUUGCUAAGACCGAUGUGAAAUCCCCGGGCUCAACCUGGGAACUGCAUUGGUGACUGGCAAGCUAGAGUAUGGCAGAGGGGGGUAGAAUUCCACGUGUAGCAGUGAAAUGCGUAGAGAUGUGGAGGAAUACCGAUGGCGAAGGCAGCCCCCUGGGCCAAUACUGACGCUCAUGCACGAAAGCGUGGGGAGCAAACAGGAUUAGAUACCCUGGUAGUCCACGCCCUAAACGAUGUCAACUAGUUGUUGGGGAUUCAUUUCCUUAGUAACGUAGCUAACGCGUGAAGUUGACCGCCUGGGGAGUACGGUCGCAAGAUUAAAACUCAAAUGAAUUGACGGGGUCAUAGCUGUUUCCU
This 585-nucleotide ribosomal RNA is filed under the name uncultured bacterium. Its description in RNAcentral is "partial 16S ribosomal RNA". It matches the Rfam family "Bacterial small subunit ribosomal RNA", at positions 355 to 1375 of the family's 1533-position model. The record is from RNAcentral.